Molecule: RNA transcript, 1598 nt
Organism: Juglans regia (Persian walnut)
Lineage: Eukaryota; Viridiplantae; Streptophyta; Magnoliopsida; Fagales; Juglandaceae
Gene name: mitochondrial uncoupling protein 2-like
Exons: 9
Source: RefSeq, a predicted model, not a curated record
AAACGAUGGUCACGAGGAGGACGUGUGAAAAACCCAGUUGCACGGCCAUCAAUGGUGGCCAGCCAUUGUCGGCGUUUUUUCACGUCCCUUUCCAUUCAUUAUGACUAUUGAAAUCAUUCCAUAAGGCCCUGAAUUACCCUUCAGCUGUACCGAAACUGACUCUCCAUUACCCAAUCCCUGCUUUCCAGCCUUUCUUCGUAGCUUUCAAUGGCCGAUCUCAAGCCCCAGAUCGAAAUCUCGUUCGCUGAGAUGUUCCUCUGCAGCGCUUUCGCGGCUUGUUUCGCCGAGUUCUGUACUCUUCCUUUGGAUACUGCUAAAGUCAGGCUUCAGCUUCAAAAGAAAGCAGCGGGGGUAGAUGGAGUGGGUGUACCCAAAUAUACAGGCUUGUUGGGUACUAUGACUACUAUUGCUAGGGAAGAGGGCUUAUCAGCACUCUGGAAAGGUCUUAUUCCAGGAUUACAGCGCCAGUGUCUUUAUGGAGGCUUAAGGAUUGGCUUAUAUGGUCCUGUCAAAACAUAUCUAGUUGGCAGUGAAUUUAUUGGAGAUAUUCCUGUAUACCACAAAAUACUUGCUGCUCUUUUAACGGGUGCUAUAGCAAUUGCAGUGGCUAAUCCAACUGAUCUUGUCAAAGUUCGACUUCAAGCUGAAGGGAAAUUACCAGCCGGGGUUCCUAGGCGUUACUCUGGAGCUUUGGAUGCAUAUUUCACCAUAGUGAGACAGGAAGGAUUAGGGGCCCUGUGGACUGGCCUUGGCCCCAAUGUAGCACGAAAUGCUAUAAUAAAUGCCGCUGAACUAGCUAGUUAUGACCAAUUUAAACAGAUGAUUUUGAGAAUUCCAGGGUUCAUGGACAAUGUUUUAACUCAUGUGCUGGCUGGUCUAGGUGCAGGUUUCUUUGCUGUCUGUAUCGGUUCUCCCGUUGAUGUUGCUUUAAAGCGGCUGUGCUAGUGAAAGAUUAUGGUCAAAAUUUGUUUCUUAUCGUAUGAAGAAAUUUUUUUUAUAGUUUUAAGGACAAGUUAGUCAGUCAAUGUUGGCUUGGAUGCCAUGCUUAUUAUGUUCCAGGUGAAAUCCAGAAUGAUGGGAGAUUCAACAUACAAAAGCACGUUUGACUGCUUCAUCAAAACUUUGAAGAGUGAGGGAUUUUUUGCCUUCUAUAAAGGGUUCUUCCUUAACUUUGGUCGGCUGGGAGCUUGGAACGUGAUUAUGUUCCUAACUCUUGAGCAAGCCAAGAUAUUUUUUGGAGGGGCAGCAUAAAUCUAUGGCUUUCCUGGUUGAGAUUUAGCAAGCGAAAAGGCACAGCUAUUGCUCGGAAAUUGGAAUUAUUUUUUUACCUGAGAGAUGAUAUUUGUCUGUCUCUCUGCAUUUUUUGCUUCCCACUCAGUUAUAUACGAAGUCUUUUUGUAACAGUGAACAGAUUGGCAAGCUAUAUUUGCGUGAAAGGGUAUUCAUCAUCAUUAGAUUCGUUACUACAACAGACCCUUUUGUUGUUAGUACAAAAGCUGCUUUCCUCACCAUGUCCCCAUCAAACAACAUAUUAGUAUAUGAUUACGUUUUGAACUGAUUGAAAUCAACCAUUUUCCUCUCCAAUAGAUUCUUAUCCA